ACUGGUGUCAGCCGCCGCGGUAAUACCAGCUCUCCGAGUGGUAGGGACGAUUAUUGGGCCUAAAGCGUUCGUAGCCGGCUUGGCAAGUCUCUCGUUAAAUCCAGUGACCUAAUCGUUGAGCCGCGGGAGAUACUGUCAGGCUUGGGAGCGGAAGAGGUCGACGGUAUUCUCGGGGUAGGGGUGAAAUCCUGUAAUCCCGGGAGGACCACCAGUGGCGAAGACUGUCGACUAGAACGCAUCCGACGGUGAGGGACGAAAGCUGGGGGAGCGAACCGGAUUAGAUACCCGGGUAGUCCCAGCUGUAAACUAUGCGGGCUAGGUGUCAGUGUGGCUACGAGCCACUCUGGUGCCCCAGGGAAGCCGUUAA
RNAcentral lists this ribosomal RNA (367 nucleotides) under uncultured archaeon. RNAcentral describes it as "bacterial SSU rRNA". It matches the Rfam family "Archaeal small subunit ribosomal RNA", at positions 451 to 818 of the family's 1478-position model. The record is from RNAcentral.